UACGUAGGGUGCGAGCGUUGUCCGGAAUUACUGGGCGUAAAGAGCUCGUAGGUGGUUUGUCGCGUUGUUCGUGAAAACUCACAGCUUAACUGUGGGCGUGCGGGCGAUACGGGCAGACUGGAGUACUGCAGGGGAGACUGGAAUUCCUGGUGUAGCGGUGAAAUGCGCAGAUAUCAGGAGGAACACCGGUGGCGAAGGCGGUUCUCUGGGCAUUACCUGACGCUGAGGAGCGAAAGUGUGGGGAGCGAACAGG
Molecule: ribosomal RNA, 253 nt
Filed under: uncultured bacterium
Lineage: Bacteria
Description: partial 16S ribosomal RNA
Rfam family: Bacterial small subunit ribosomal RNA
Source: RNAcentral